UGCGGAUCUCGAAAGCCUGUCCCAGUUCGGACUGGAGUCUGCAACCCGACUCCACGAAGUUGGAUUCGCUAGUAAUCGCGCAUCAGCCAUGGCGCGGUGAAUACGUUCCCGGGCCUUGUACACACCGCCCGUCAAGCCAUGGGAGCCGGGGGCGCCUGAAGUCCGGGACCGCGAGGACCGGCCUAGGGCGAAACUGGUAACUGGGGCUAAGUCGUAACAAGGUAGC
Molecule: ribosomal RNA, 226 nt
Filed under: uncultured bacterium
Lineage: Bacteria
Description: partial 16S ribosomal RNA
Rfam family: Bacterial small subunit ribosomal RNA
Source: RNAcentral